CGGCGGACGGGUGAGUAACGCGUGGGUAACCUGCCUCAUACAGGGGGAUAACAGUUGGAAACGGCUGCUAAUACCGCAUAAGCGCACAGUACCGCAUGGUACCGUGUGAAAAACUCCGGUGGUAUGAGAUGGACCCGCGUCUGAUUAGCUAGUUGGUGGGGUAACGGCCUACCAAGGCGACGAUCAGUAGCCGACCUGAGAGGGUGACCGGCCACAUUGGGACUGAGACACGGUCCAAACUCCUACGGGAGGCAGCAUG
RNAcentral lists this ribosomal RNA (259 nucleotides) under uncultured bacterium. RNAcentral describes it as "partial 16S ribosomal RNA". It matches the Rfam family "Bacterial small subunit ribosomal RNA", at positions 96 to 353 of the family's 1533-position model. The record is from RNAcentral.